UACGUAGGGGGCAAGCGUUGUCCGGAAUCAUUGGGCGUAAAGCGCGUGUAGGCGGCUUGGUAAGUCUGCUCUGAAAGCCCGGGGCUCAACCCCGGGAGGCGGGUGGAUACUGGGAAGCUUGAGUCCGGAAGAGGUGAGUGGAACUGCGAGUGUAGAGGUGAAAUUCGUAGAUAUUCGCAAGAACACCAGUGGCGAAGGCGGCUCACUGGUCCGGUACUGACGCUGAGGUGCGAAAGCGUGGGGAGCAAACAGG
This 253-nucleotide ribosomal RNA is filed under the name uncultured bacterium. RNAcentral describes it as "partial 16S ribosomal RNA". It matches the Rfam family "Bacterial small subunit ribosomal RNA", at positions 524 to 776 of the family's 1533-position model. The record is from RNAcentral.